RNAcentral lists this transfer RNA (66 nucleotides) under Nesophrosyne kanawao. Its description in RNAcentral is "tRNA-Phe". Lineage: Eukaryota; Metazoa; Arthropoda; Insecta; Hemiptera; Cicadellidae. The record is from RNAcentral.
AUUUACAUAGCUUAUAAUUUAGAGUAUACCAGUGAAGUUGGUGGUGAAACUUAAUGUUUGUGAAUA